CCUACGGGCGGCAGCAGUAGGGAAUUUUGCGCAAUGGGCGAAAGCCUGACGCAGCAACGCCGCGUGAUCGAGACGCCCUUCGGGGUGUAAAGAUCUGUCAGUGGGGACGAAACUUGACGGUACCCACAGAGGAAGCACCGGCUAACUCCGUGCCAGCAGCCGCGGUAAUACGGGGGGUGCAAGCGUUGUCCGGAAUCAUUGGGCGUAAAGAGUUCGUAGGCGGCACGUAAAGUCUGGUGUUAAAGGCAGAGGCUCAACUUCUGUACGGCACUGGAUACUUGCGAGCUAGAAUGCGGUAGAGGUAAAGGGAAUUCCUGGUGUAGCGGUGAAAUGCUUAGAUAUACGGAGGAACACCAGUGGCGAAGGCGGAUUGCUGGACAGUAACUGACGCUGAGGCGCGAAAGCGUGGGGAGCAAACAGGAUUAGAUACCCUUGUAGUC
RNAcentral lists this ribosomal RNA (440 nucleotides) under uncultured bacterium. RNAcentral's name for it is "partial 16S ribosomal RNA". It matches the Rfam family "Bacterial small subunit ribosomal RNA", at positions 338 to 795 of the family's 1533-position model. The record is from RNAcentral.